Molecule: long non-coding RNA, 390 nt
Organism: Bos taurus (domestic cattle)
Lineage: Eukaryota; Metazoa; Chordata; Mammalia; Artiodactyla; Bovidae
Source: Ensembl
ACAGCAGCAAUCAACACAGCCUUGUAAAGCAACUAUACCCCAAUUCAAAAAGAAGAAGAAGAAAAAAGAAAUCGUCACAAACAGUGACUUAAAACAGCACUGGUGUAUCAUCUUGUCCUGCUGGAGAAAGAUGCUCCUGAUGACAUCGGACCCACCCCGGGAUACUCCAGCAUCGUUUCAGCGUCUCGUGGUCCUUCAGCAUACCUGCAAAGUCUCUUCUGCCAGGCAAGUUUCAAAUCUGCAGUAAGCUCUGCGUGCUGUGCUCAAAUCUGCAGUAAGCUCUGCGUGCUGUGCUAAGUUGUGUCAGUCAUGUCCAGCUCUCUGUGACCCCACGGACUGCAGCCCACCAGGCUCCUCUGUCCAUUGGAUUUCCCAGGCAAGAAUACUGGA